GAUGAACGCUAGCGAUAGGCCUAACACAUGCAAGUCGAGGGGCAGCAUAAGGAAGUAGCAAUACUUUCUGGUGGCGACCGGCGCACGGGUGAGUAACACGUAUGCAACCUGCCUUCAACAAGGGCAUAACCCGUUGAAAGACGGACUAAUACCCUAUAAUACAGGGGCCCCGCAUGGGGAUAUUUGUUAAAGAUUUAUCGGUUGAAGAUGGGCAUGCGUUCCAUUAGCUGGUUGGUGGGGUAACGGCCCACCAAGGCAACGAUGGAUAGGGGAACUGAGAGGUUUAUCCCCCACACUGGUACUGAGACACGGACCAGACUCCUACGGGAGGCAGCAGUGAGGAAUAUUGGUCAAUGGACGCAAGUCUGAACCAGCCACGUCGCGUGAAGGAAGACGGCCCUACGGGUUGUAAACUUCUUUUAUACGGGAAUAAAGUGCCCCACGUGUGGGGUUUUGCAAGUACCGUAUGAAUAAGGAUCGGCUAACUCCGUG
RNAcentral lists this ribosomal RNA (492 nucleotides) under uncultured bacterium. RNAcentral's name for it is "bacterial SSU rRNA". It matches the Rfam family "Bacterial small subunit ribosomal RNA", at positions 28 to 507 of the family's 1533-position model. The record is from RNAcentral.